GUAACGAAUAUUCCGCAAUGCGCGAAAGCGUGACGGAGCAAUGCCGCGUGCAGGAUGAAGCAGCUUCGCUGUGUAAACUGCUGUCAGGGGCUACUAACUAUGAAGAGCCUCAGAGGAAGGACCGGCUAAACUCGUGCCAGCAGCCGCGGUAAUACGAGUGGUCCAAGCGUUAGUCGGAAUCACUGGGCUUAAAGGGUGCGUAGGCGGGCCAGAAAGCGUCUUGUGAAAUCCCCCGGCUCAACCGGGGAACAGCAGGGCGAACUACUGGUCUUGAGGAAGGUAGAGGCCGGCAGAACGAUCGGUGGAGCGGUGGAAUGCGUAGAGAUCGAUCGGAAUGCCAAAGGUGAAGACAGCCGGCUGGGCCUUUCCUGACGCUGAGGCACGAAAGCGUGGGGAGCAAACAGGAUUAGAUACCCCGGUAGUCC
This 425-nucleotide ribosomal RNA is filed under the name uncultured bacterium. Its description in RNAcentral is "bacterial SSU rRNA". It matches the Rfam family "Bacterial small subunit ribosomal RNA", at positions 354 to 796 of the family's 1533-position model. The record is from RNAcentral.